AGCAACUGCUUUACUGAUAAGGGUUAAACUGCUGCAUGACUGUGAAAUGCUAUGCUACAUUAAGCAACUGAAUGAAGUUCAUGGCAGUAGCUUCAGCAGUACCUGGGUUGCAUUGCUGCUAAAAGUUGUGAAUGGUGGAAUAUCUAUGAAUUUUACAGGACAUGACUAGCCAAGCGGGCCGCUGCAGCUCACUCACCCUUGGUAUGGUGAAAACAGAUUGGAGUACUGUUGCCAGACAUUCAAACAACAAAGCUAGUAGGCAGGGCUUUUGCAUCUCUCAUCUUGGUCGUGCUCAACUCUAAGACUGAGUGAUCUCCUGGUUUUCUCUCCUCCAGUUACCUUGUAUUCCCUAUCCUAAGUGUAAUAGCCAUCAGAAAUAUAAUUUCUGAAAAAAGGCAAGAAUAAACCAAGAUCUUCUUACUAUGGCAUAGAAUGUCCUCUCCAGGAAAAUGCAGUGGUGCUGGAAAUAGCUCCUAUAGAAACAAAGGUGGCAUUUGGAGUGCUUUCAUAGGCUGAUAAAACAGCUUAUGGAGAAGAGCUACAUGCCUGUUCAUGCCCAGUCUUGUGCUUUGACCAGAAGACCAUACCUCCUCUCUCCUCCUGUCCAAAAGAACAGCCUCCAUCUCCUGCCACUAUCUCCUGUAACCCAUUUCCCCAGAAUUUCUGAGUCUGUUUACUCUCUGAUCCCUGCCUACUAGUGAUGCUGCUGACAAAUCCCAGGAGAUUUGGAGUUCUGUGCUCACUGGGACUGACAGGAACAUCAUCUCCCAAGGUACGCUAACACUGUCUCUGGUGGACCAGGCAAAGGGUGGAUAAUAAAAAGAAUCAGAAGACCUAGGGACACUGGCAGUGCAGUAGACCGCACAAAUAAACACAGCUGAGCAGCUUGAAAAAGGAUUUUCUAGUAAUUGUUUAACAUUUAUCCUGGAAGGGAAAAAAAUCAAGCUUGGGUUGACAACUGCAAUGAACUGGAAGGCAUCUUAGCACCUUGCUUCCAUUCAGUCUGGAAGGGCAUCUGCCACGGAGAAAGGAUCAUGGCUGGCAGCCAUGCACUGAGCCUGGGCACCUCACCUCUGGAUCACAAGCAGGAAUGUGGGAACCUGUCAGGUUUCUUCCAGGUUUGGGGUUUCUCUCUCUACAAAAGUUGCCCAAAACCCUAACUGAGAGCCAUGUAGUCAUUGCCAUAUUGGAAUGUCAUUGUGGCAGUGAUAUACACAGCUGUCAAGCCAUGGGGCUGGCUGCUUUUGUCCAUUAGGAGAAGAAAGAAAGAUACAAUUUAAUCCAACAGGUCUCAUCAUGUGAGUCAUAACCCUUAAUCCAGCAGCUGUAUAAGGGUAAUAGGCCUGCUCCUGUUCCCUGUAGCUGCUUUUCUGAUGAGCAAGAUAUGCUGCAUUAGUUAUGGUAGAAUGUUGAUUAGUGGGGUCUCCUCAGCAAUAGCCUCAGUCACUAGAGUUGCACUGUUUAGCAGUGAUGUUGGGGGAGAGAGGGACAGUCGUGAAGAGAAAAAGGUCUGCAGUAAAGUAGGGGCAUGAAGGGGAUGAGGUGGCUUUUGAAGAUGAAGCCUGGAGAAGAGAAACUGAGGGUGAGGGGAGUCUGACAAUACAAAAAUGAUGUGGACAAGGCAGAAGAGCAAUAGGAGUUGACAAUAAAGAGACACCCUGGUAGCUAGUUGUGUGUUUGGGCAGGGGGGAGGGGAGGAACUGGCAUUAGAGGAUGAAAAUUGGGGGGAGAUGGGCAGAGAGAAAGAAAGAUUAGGAGAAUUGACACCAUAGAGAGGACAGACAACUAGCAGUAGAAAGAAAGAGAGAGAGAACAAAAAAUCCAGAAAAUGCAAAAAGAGAGAGAGAGAGGAGAGACUGGACUGGACUGUAGGAAUGGAAAGAAGGGUUGAGAGAAGAGGAACAGAAAAGGCAGAGAGUGUUGCUAAGGUAACCCCAAGAGACCUGUCAGUGAUCUGUGAGUCUGAGAGGUAUUUUUCAAAGAUUAUGAGAAAAUGAACCACUGGUUAAAGAGACCCUAUGUAGCAGCAUCAUAGAAACAGCACUUCUUUAUUCAAGCCAUUCUUGCAAUGUUUUUCCUUUCUUCUUUGAUAAUUAUGGUGGAGUCAUUUUAUAUUUUGGCAUGUCAGCAGAGAGACUGCUUUUAUUUGCACAGCCAACAGCACAUGAGGCACGUGACGGAUAGGGCCCCGGCUCUGACGACCUCACAAUCUAUAGGAGUGUGGGCAUGGAGGGGGGAGAAGAGAAUGGGGGAAGUGAUGAUAAAAGUGUGAAUGGUGAGAGAGAAGAGAGCACACAGUUUAGUAGUUCCAUAAAUUUUGUUUGAA
Long non-coding RNA from Mauremys reevesii (Reeves's turtle), 2326 nucleotides. RefSeq lists it as uncharacterized. The record is from RefSeq and is a predicted model, not a curated record. The transcript has 4 exons. Lineage: Eukaryota; Metazoa; Chordata; Testudines; Geoemydidae.